GGCAUGCCUUACACAUAGCAAGUCGAACGGCAGCACGGGAGCAAUCCUGGUGGCGAGUGGCGAACGGGUGAGUAAUAUAUCGGAACGUGCCCAGUCGUGGGGGAUAACGUAGCGAAAGCUACGCUAAUACCGCAUACGAUCUAUGGAUGAAAGCGGGGGAUCGCAAGACCUCGCGCGAUUGGAGCGGCCGAUAUCAGAUUAGGUAGUUGGUGAGGUAAAGGCUCACCAAGCCGACGAUCUGUAGCUGGUCUGAGAGGACGACCAGCCACACUGGGACUGAGACACGGCCCAGACUCCUACGGGAGGCAGCAGUGGGGAAUUUUUGGACAAUGGGCGCAAGCCUGAUCCAGCAAUGCCGCGUGCAGGAUGAAGGCCUUCGGGUUGUAAACUGCUUUUGUACGGAACGAAACGGUGAGCUCUAAUACAGUUUGCUAAUGACGGUACCGUAAGAAUAAGCACCGGCUAACUACGUG
RNAcentral lists this ribosomal RNA (473 nucleotides) under uncultured bacterium. RNAcentral describes it as "bacterial SSU rRNA". It matches the Rfam family "Bacterial small subunit ribosomal RNA", at positions 41 to 507 of the family's 1533-position model. The record is from RNAcentral.